Molecule: ribosomal RNA, 466 nt
Filed under: uncultured bacterium
Lineage: Bacteria
Description: partial 16S ribosomal RNA
Rfam family: Bacterial small subunit ribosomal RNA
Source: RNAcentral
CGAACGCUGGCGGCGCGCCUAACACAUGCAAGUCGAACGGAGUCAAGAGGAGCUUGCUUUUCUUGACUUAGUGGCGAACGGGUGAGUAACGCGUGAGUAACCUGCCCUGGAGUGGGGGACAACAGUUGGAAACGACUGCUAAUACCGCAUAAGCCCACGGAUCCGCAUGGAUCUGCGGGAAAAGGAUUUAUUCGCUUCAGGAUGGACUCGCGUCCAAUUAGCUAGUUGGUGAGGUAACGGCCCACCAAGGCGACGAUUGGUAGCCGGACUGAGAGGUUGAACGGCCACAUUGGGACUGAGACACGGCCCAGACUCCUACGGGAGGCAGCAGUGGGGGAUAUUGCACAAUGGGGGAAACCCUGAUGCAGCGACGCCGCGUGGAGGAAGAAGGUUUUCGGAUUGUAAACUCCUGUCGUUAGGGACGAUAAUGACGGUACCUAACAAGAAAGCACCGGCUAACUACGUG